This 253-nucleotide ribosomal RNA is filed under the name uncultured bacterium. RNAcentral's name for it is "partial 16S ribosomal RNA". It matches the Rfam family "Bacterial small subunit ribosomal RNA", at positions 524 to 776 of the family's 1533-position model. The record is from RNAcentral.
UACGUAGGGAGCGAGCGUUGUCCGGAUUCAUUGGGCGUAAAGAGCGUGUAGGCGGCUUGGUAAGUCCGCUGUGAAAGUCCAGGGCUCAACCCUGGAAUGCCGGUGGAAACUGUCAAGCUUGAGUCCGGAAGAGGCGAGUGGAAUUCCUGGUGUAGCGGUGAAAUGCGCAGAUAUCAGGAGGAACACCAAUGGCGAAGGCAGCUCGCUGGGACGGUACUGACGCUGAGACGCGAAAGCGUGGGGAGCAAACAGG